UUAUGCGGAAAUGAAAUUGAAUGUUACUUCGAACACGUUCUUCUACAAAAUAACCGACCUGUAUUUAGUGCUAUUGCUUUAACAUCAAUCGCAGCAAAAAUAGCAUCAAUGUAUGCGUCUAAAAAUGUUAAAUUUAGAUGGAGACAAUCCAGAAAUGAGCUGCCAGGAAGUGAUCGAUUUCGGACACGAAGGCCGACGGAGGCACUCUUGCCGUUUACCGCUGCCACCAGUAAAGUUAACCUAGGAGGAAAAGUGCGCCCGGUGUGGGGCUCGAACCCACGACCGCCGGAACACUAGCACGGCGCUCUAACCAACUGAGCUAACCGGGCGGCUGGUUCUUACCCACACACACUACAGAGCAAACAGAUUUUAGGCUUAAAAAUUGAGAAGUGCCUGGAUACAAGGCUAGUAUUGUUAACAUCAUCUGAUACAAUCAACUAGAACAAAGCUGAAAUGGCUGCCUGACCUGACUUAAAAAUUGGAUGGCAGUACAUCAGACUAGAAGAUUACAAGUAUUGAGGUGGACAAAAUGAAACCUGAGCCUACCAAAGCUGACAGAUUGCACAAGAAACACAUAAAUGCAGAUUGGAAGAUUCAUUCUCUGGAAAGUAGAAAAGGGCAUGUUACAUACUGUUAUCACUGCCAUGACAGAAACCAUAUUGAGGAGCUGGUCCACCUGUAGGAAGAAUUGCACUAUUGGUUGGAGCAGCACUAUUACCCAGCCAUACACCAGCACUUAGUUUGUCAUAGGGAGCAUUUCUGAGCAUAUGGAGACCACUAACUAUGCAGAUAUGUCAUAAUCAAAAUCUUGGUUUAUAUAUUUUUUUAUAAUUUAGCAUCUGUUGAGAAGAAAUUUAUUUCUAGAUUGAAGGCACACACUAUAGAUUGAUGCCCAAAAAUAUAUUUCUUAUUUUAAUGCAUUAUCAUGUCUAACUCAUUUGACUUAAAUGAUCAAAGCAAAAGAAAUGCAAAUGAUUAAUCUGCAGAUAUACAAAUGUAAGCUUUUUUAACUGGGGAAAUUGUUGCCACUUGUCUAUUAAUUAAAGAACACAUUUAUAAUUAAUAAUGUUUAAUCUGUACACAAAUCAUGUGCCUUCUUUGUUUUAACCAUCAAUGUCAAAGAGUCCAGCAUGAUAAUGCAUUAAAUUGAAAAAAUGCAUUAAUUUAUAUGAACCCUUUAAAACAAAGACAUUUCCUAAAUCCAAUAAAAAAUAAUUGAAUAUUGAUGCAGAGUUCAGUAAGAAUAUAAUAUAACUUUUUUUGCAGUUGUUGCAGUGAAACUUGCACCAGUGUGUUUUCUGUGGAGAUAAAGAGAUAGUGUCCAGCAAUGAAGACCCAACUCAAGAUCUGACCUUGUAAGGCCAAUAUGAAAUAACUGUGUGGGAAAAUGGGAAAAACCUGCAGUCAGGAAUGCACGGAAAUCAUCAAAAGAACAGUGUUAAAUUAAUCUUGAAUAACUUGACAUUUAUUUUGUUUGACAUAGUUAUUCAUGGUGCAGUGAAAACAUUCUUUUUUUCUCAUGGUUAUUUAAAUUUAGAAUUGAUAGGAGGGAACAUCACUAUGUAGUUUCAUGUUCAUAGUCAGAUCAAAACCCAUGUACAUGCCCAAAUGAGCAUUUGAAAAUAUCAAAAUGGUACUUGUUGUAUGUAGUGUAAGUUAAUUAACAUAAUAAACAAAAAU
This is a long non-coding RNA of Mya arenaria, 1680 nucleotides long. RefSeq lists it as uncharacterized. The record is from RefSeq and is a predicted model, not a curated record. The transcript is spliced from 4 exons. NCBI's taxonomy places the organism in Eukaryota, Metazoa, Mollusca, Bivalvia, Myida, Myidae.